UCGCGGCUUAUCACCGGCAGUCCCCUUAGAGUGCCCAACUAAAUGAUGGCAACUAAGGGCGAGGGUUGCGCUCGUUGCGGGACUUAACCCAACAUCUCACGACACGAGCUGACGACAGCCAUGCAGCACCUGUGUUCCGAUUCCCUUUCGGGCACACCUGGAUCUCUCCAGGCUCUCGGACAUGUCAAGGGUAGGUAAGGUUUUUCGCGUUGCAUCGAAUUAAACCACAUCAUCCACCGCUUGUGCGGGUCCCCGUCAAUUUCUUUGAGUUUUAAUCUUGCGACCGUACUUCCCAGGCGGCAUAUUUAUCGCGUUGGCUACGCCACAAAAGGGGUCGAUUCCUUUUACAGCAAAUAUGCACCGUUUACAGCCGGGACUAC
Molecule: unclassified non-coding RNA, 380 nt
Filed under: uncultured bacterium
Lineage: Bacteria
Description: contains 16S-23S intergenic spacer region
Source: RNAcentral